CACACAGGGUGUGUGUCUGCGUACGAUCGCAGGAGAAGGGGAAAAAAGGGGUGUAAACCCUAACCACAAAAAAAUCAUCAAUUGAAAAGGAAAUCGCGGGUUGAUUUUGUGCAUGAACCAAGAAUGAUGAUCCCUUAAGCGUUUCUCACAUCAAGAACGUGUCAAGGAGAGGUCAAGCAUAGGAGGAUAACGGGUCAAGAUAAGGCAAGGUGACAAAUACACUUAUUGGAGUACUCGAGGUAAGUGAAUUUCGAUUCACUUUUUAGUAGGUUUAAUAGAUUUUAAUACUUUUGUUUACGAAACAUCAUGAAAGAACAUGUAAUAAUCAGAAGUACAAAGCCAAUAAUGCCUCAUUAUUGAAGAAGGUUGUAUUUAAGCCGAAAGUAAAUUGGUGGGUUUAAACGGGUCGAAUUUUAUGUGCAUAUGUUGCGUAAUGUAAUGAAAUUCGUUAUGGUUAAGACAUUGGGUAAGAAUUUUUAGUCAUUAUGUAAGGGGAACAUUUCCCGGACCAUUAGGAACAAGUUUUAUAUGAUUCGGUUGUCGGUUAGUGAAUGAACGGAUUGUUUCGUGUUAGUGUAGGAAAUUUUAUAAGUAUAUGUGUAUAGGAAUCCAAAUGGCACGUGGGUUGAAUCAUAGAUUGUCUAUACUAUGUAAAGUUGUGAAUGUGACAUUCCGGCAUAAACCUACAUGUAAAAGAAGCUUGUGUAUAUAUUCGUGAUUAAUUGAUUGUGCGUAGGAAGGAACAUUGGCAUGUAUGAAGGUACGCAUGUAUAUAUAUAAGUGUAUAUAUAUAUAUAUGUAUGUAUGUAUGAUAAUAAGUACGUAGGUGUGAAUGUGUGUGUGAAUGAAUGUUCAAUGCUUAAGACAUAUGCAUGAACGUUAUCAAAGUGUUCGAGUAUUUAUGGAUACUAAUGAUGUGCGUUGAGUUGGAAUGUAAUGUAGGUAUGGGAUCGUUGGCUUCAUGAAGAAAUGGAGCUGGAUUUGGAUAAGAGUAUUUAAGAAAGCGCUUGGACAAUUCCACGACUACUUUAUAGAAUGCUCUACGAAAUUCUAUUAUAUAGUUUAAUGUUGUAUGGUAUGUUAAUGACUAAUGGUUUGGUUGUACGUGGUGUCCACAGGUAUCGCUUGGGUUUUCUCUACAUUUAUUGAAGUGAAGCGGACUUAGUUCGAGUUGAGAGCAAGGAUUGUACGGGGUAGAAUGGUCACAUAGUGUAACUCAUAUAGGUUUUGAAGUAUUAAUGUUAUAAAACGUUAUAAUCCGUUUUAAUGAAUAUAUGGCAUUUCGCAUUUGAACCUUCAUGUGUUUGAUAUGUCUAUUAAAGAACGAAAUUUUUGGGCUCUUGUUUUCCGCUGCGUCGUAUUUUAAGUUAUUACGCGUUAGUCUUACAGGGAAUUGUUCUUAUUACGAACGGGUCAUGCCCGAAUUUUGUUAAAUAAUAGUAUGAUAAUAUUACAUUUUGGAAUGUGUAAUUUGGGCGUAUCAAGUUGGUAUCAGAGCCCUGGUUUGAGGGAAAUCAAGUAUGAGGAGGCAAAUACUUGAACUCAAACCUGUGUGCUCUUGUGACGAGGAACCCGUACAAUCCAAGACUCGAUCAAGAUCUAAAGGUAGAAGCAAAUGUAAGUAUGAAUUUAAGUAUGUUUAUGAAGAAACUAACAUUAUGUUGUGUGUAAGAUAAGCAUAGUUGUUUGGAUGAGGAUGAUCCACGACUGUGGUCUCGGACUGACACCAAGGCAUGUAAUAAGACCAUUGCCCAGGUCAGUGAAAGAAUGUUCAUAAGCGAAAGCUCGUCACACGGAUGAACGAGGUCAAUACGAAACAUGGUAUGGAUGGGGACGAAGAGGACCGACUCGUUGCUGCAUGUUCAAGUACUGCACCAAGGUAGUAAGGUUAGCAAAUUAUUUAAUAUAUGAAGGUACGAUGCUCGAAUCCCUCAAACCUACGCUCUCGUGAAAGUGUGUUCGUUUCUAAGCGCCACACAAGUAAGUGAUUUAAGGAUUUCGAGCUAUGCUUUUAGAUGAAAACGGAAAUGGGUUAUGGAUAAAUUAUUAUUAUAACCUGGGUUGGGACGUUAUGGGAUGUUAGGGAAGGUUUCGGGACUGCCCGAGACCAUUUCUGGUUGGAAAAAAGGACCCGGGAACAAAAAAUUUUGGUCAAACAGCGUCUGCACAGCAGAGAGCCCGUCGGCGACGGCCUUUAUGCCGUCGGCGAUGGCACCCCUCCACCUGACGCGCUAACUGUCUGUCUACGGGCAAUGUUUAGCGACGGGACCUUCCCGAGCCCGUCGGCGACGCACCAUGUGCCGUCGGCGACGGGUCCCCCUUAUCUGCUUAUGUUGAAAUUGUUUGUUUAUUAGGCUAAGGUCCUUAAUUCAGUUCUAGCAUUCAUUAAACAUUAGGAACACCCCAAGUUGAUUAUGAAGCUAAGAAAUUCAAGACAACUAUCAUGUUUUAAUGAUGUAUGUGCGGGAAGUUAUGUAUGCGAAUGAAUGAAAUAAGUAACACGUCUAGAAGGUUUGUAAAGAAAGAUUGGAUGAGUUUAUGAAAAUUUUACACUAUCAUUGAAAAAGUACCUCCAUAUGAAUAGGUAUGAUAUGUUUAAUAUGUACGAAUGAACGAGAUUGUAUGCGGAAAUGAAUAAAUUAAUGAUGACUAGGGAUUGGUUUUCGCAUGGAAGUUUGAAAUCUUGAUAAGUAUGAAUAAUAUAUCAGGAUGCUAGUUUCAAAUUAUGGACUAUGGGAUCUGUGAUUAAGCAAAUUCUCACAACAUGCUUAUGUAAGUCGUCCAAUGUAACUUGAAUGAGUGAGGGAACGAAGAAUAAAACUAGACGGGUUGUAGAAGAAAAGAAAGAGGUUUCGGGGACGAAACCUUCUUUAAGGGGGGUAGAUUUGAAACACCCCAAAACUCGAAUUAUUAAAUUCGUAGGAAUGUCACCAUGUGUAAUUAAAUAAAAUACAAUAACUAAGUUAUUAAACUUAGUUAAAUGCCUAAUAAACAAGUUAAGGAAUGAAACUUGUGGCAACUAUAAUGGAAUGGUAAACUUGAGGGACUUAGAUUGCCAAAAAGGAAAUAUAUUUUAUUAAAACAAAAACAAAAAAAAAAAUCAUACACAGGGUGUGUGUCUGCGUACGAUCGCAGGAGAAGGGGAAAAAGGGGGUGUAAACCCUAACCACAAAAAAAUCAUCAAUUGAAAAGGAAAUCGCGGGUUGAUUGUGUGCAUGAACCAAGAAUGAUGAUCCCUUAAGCGUUUCUCACAUCAAAUAAUAGGAACGUGUCAAGGAGAGGUCAAGCAUAGGAGGAUAACGGGUCAAGAUAAGGCAAGGUGACAAAUACACUUAUUGGAGUACUCGAGGUAAGUGAAUUUCGAUUCACUUUUUAGUAGGUUUAAUAGAUUUUAAUACUUUUGUUUACGAAACAUCAUGAAAGAACAUGUAAUAAUCAGAAGUACAAAGCCAAUAAUGCCUCAUUAUUGAAGAAGGUUGUAUUUAAGCCGAAAGUAAAUUGGUGGGUUUAAACGGGUCGAAUUUUAUGUGCAUAUGUUGCGUAAUGUAAUGAAAUUCGUUAUGGUUAAGACAUUGGGUAAGAAUUUUUAGUCAUUAUGUAAGGGGAACAUUUCCCGGACCAUUAGGAACAAGUUUUAUAUGAUUCGGUUGUCGGUUAGUGAAUGAACGGAUUGUUUCGUGUUAGUGUAGGAAAUUUUAUAAGUAUAUGUGUAUAGGAAUCCAAAUGGCACGUGGGUUGAAUCAUAGAUUGUCUAUACUAUGUAAAGUUGUGAAUGUGACAUUCCGGCAUAAACCUACAUGUAAAAGAAGCUUGUGUAUAUAUUCGUGAUUAAUUGAUUGUGCGUAGGAAGGAACAUUGGCAUGUAUGAAGGUACGCAUGUAUAUAUAUAAGUGUAUAUAUAUAUGUAUGUAUGUAUGAUAAUAAGUACGUAGGUGUGAAUGUGUGUGUGAAUGAAUGUUCAAUGCUUAAGACAUAUGCAUGAACGUUAUCAAAGUGUUCGAGUAUUUAUGGAUACUAAUGAUGUGCGUUGAGUUGGAAUGUAAUGUAGGUAUGGGAUCGUUGGCUUCAUGAAGAAAUGGAGCUGGAUUUGGAUAAGAGUAUUUAAGAAAGCGCUUGGACAAUUCCACGACUACUUUAUAGAAUGCUCUACGAAAUUCUAUUAUAUAGUUUAAUGUUGUAUGGUAUGUUAAUGACUAAUGGUUUGGUUGUACGUGGUGUCCACAGGUAUCGCUUGGGUUUUCUCUACAUUUAUUGAAGUGAAGCGGACUUAGUUCGAGUUGAGAGCAAGGAUUGUACGGGGUAGAAUGGUCACAUAGUGUAACUCAUAUAGGUUUUGAAGUAUUAAUGUUAUAAAACGUUAUAAUCCGUUUUAAUGAAUAUAUGGCAUUUCGCAUUUGAACCUUCAUGUGUUUGAUAUGUCUAUUAAAGAACGAAAUUUUUGGGCU
Molecule: long non-coding RNA, 4445 nt
Organism: Helianthus annuus (common sunflower)
Lineage: Eukaryota; Viridiplantae; Streptophyta; Magnoliopsida; Asterales; Asteraceae
Exons: 4
Source: RefSeq, a predicted model, not a curated record